GACUUGAUGAAAACAAAUUUUGCAAGAUCACUCAGAGAAAUGUAAAUAUGUUUGUCGGGCAACUGCUGAAUGCUAAGUUCAUUGUAUUAUAUGAAUAUUUCUGCAGGAAACUGCUUUAUGAGAAGGACGGCAUCGUGAAAGGUUUAUUGGAACCUGUCGUGUGUGUCUUCUAUCUCGAAAGGUGGAGAUCUGGAUUGAUGGAGAAUUUCCCUCCGGCUUUAAGUUACCAGCAGGCAUAGGUCUGAGGUUAAAGUGAAUGGAUGGAAACUGUCAUCAGUCCUGGACCCAGGUUAUGGACGGGUUGCAGAGGAGAUUCCCAGGGUGCUUACCUGGAAAGAACAAAAACUCACAGGAGCUAGGCAUUGCUUGAACCGCUUUUAGGUAGUACUUCCCAUGAACUGAAAAACUGUGAAUGGCACUUAGGUCAGCUGGAAACAAAAGUCUAGAGCAGGAAUGUUAAAACAGCUGCUCUGUCACGCUGUUGAGUGUGGGUGUGUUGCUGGGAUUGACAACCCAACUGGCUGAAGUUCUGAAAAGAACAACCCUAAAUGUAGUAUUGCUUCCCAAAACUAAACAGCUCCUUUAAUUAUCCAGAAUGUAAGCCAUUGACACGUGCCCAAGGAAGUUGCUGGCUCUGAAUAAUAAUGAUGAAAGUGAACUGAAGAAUAAAGGAC
Molecule: long non-coding RNA, 674 nt
Filed under: Chinchilla lanigera (long-tailed chinchilla)
Lineage: Eukaryota; Metazoa; Chordata; Mammalia; Rodentia; Chinchillidae
Description: lncRNA (ENSCLAG00000027991.1)
Source: RNAcentral